This 3755-nucleotide long non-coding RNA is filed under the name Triticum aestivum (bread wheat). RNAcentral's name for it is "long non-coding RNA (TAES_LNC018305)". The record is from RNAcentral. Lineage: Eukaryota; Viridiplantae; Streptophyta; Magnoliopsida; Poales; Poaceae.
UUGUUCCAUGUUUUAUUAACUUACCAUAAGAAAAACAUAUUCUGUUUGGUAAGCCAUUAAAUUCUUAGCAAAUAAGUACUUAACAAUAAAAUAUCUAUCUUCUCUACUUACUUAAAAAGAACGUAAGGUUCUCAUUUCACCUCUUUUUCGUUCAACUUUCCUUAUAUACGUCCCACUCUUUCCUUCUCCUCUUUGAUUUUUUCCUCCCAUCUCUGAUUUUUCUCCUAUCCAUCAUCCAUAAAAUAGAAUCAAUUGUCUCAUGUUUUAUUAACUUAUCAUAAUAAAAACAUAUUAUGUUUGGUAAGUCAUUAAAUUCUUAGCAAAUAAGUGCUUAACAACAAAAUGGCAGGUAAAUCAUGACGAUUGCAUAAAAAAAUUCCUAGUAACUAGGCCAAAGAUGAUUGACUUCAUACCAUUGGUGGAUUGCUUGGAAAGAAGGACAGCAAGUUCCUCCUUCCUCAAUCAGGGUGAAAGAUUGCAGUUUCUAAACUACGCUUUGUCCUCUAUGCCCAUAUUCCAUCUUGGCAGUUUGUUAGUCCCCCCUAGAAUUUUAACAACUGGAGAGAAUCCAGAGACAAUGUCUAUGGAGAAAGCAUAGAGAUGAGCCCUCUCCAUCUUUAGCAGCAUGGGACCUGAUCUGUAGGCCUAAAAGCAAGGGGGGGUUAGGGAUUUUGAACUUGGGGGUCUAGAAUAUUGCUCUGUUGCUCAAGCAUAUGCAUAAGUUUUUGAGCAAGAUGGAUCUGCCAUGGGUAUCUCUUGUUUGGAAUACAUAUUAUCAUGGGAGGGUACCAGAGGGUACUGCCAGUUGUGGAUCUUUUUGGUGGAAAGAUAUAUGCAAAAUGCUGGAUCAUUUCAGAAACACAACUGGGGUGCAAAUUAACUCCGGAGAUUCAGUUCUGUUUUGUUCUGACAGAUGGAAGCUUGGUGAUUCUGUGACAACCUUGCAAUCAAGGUUUCCAAGGCAAUUUUCUUAUGUGUAAGAUCCAUGGAUAACUGUAGCUGAAGCCUUUCAAGCACAUGAUAUCUCAGAGAUGUUUCAUUUACCUUUGUCUGAACAGGCAUAUCAUGAAUAUAUGGCAAUUCAGGCAAUGAUAACCACUCACAACAGAGAUUUGGAUGCAAAUGAUAUAUGGUACUGGCAGGGGACAUGCAAUGCUUUUAAACCUAAGAUAUUCUAUUCCUUCAUGCAUUCUACCUUGUCAUUUAAUCCUCUACUGCUAUGGAUCUAGAAAUCAUCAUGCACAAUGAAAAUAAAAGUGUUUGCUUCGAUGUUGAUCAUGGACAGGCUUAUCACUAAAGAUAUGGAUAUGAGGCAUUGGCAUAUGGAUGAUGGGGUUAAUUGUGUUCUUUGUCCUCUGCUGACAAGGGAAACCAGAGGCCAUCUUAUCUUCCACUAUAAUUUUAGUGUGAGAGUCUGGAAUUAUCUUCAAAUCUGUUGGCCACAAGGAGAUGAUAUGAGCAACAUUGUGCUGCAAGCUAAACGAGAUUUUGCAAAACCUUUCUUCACUGAGGUGGUUUUUAUUUCCUACUGGAACAUCUGGAUAGUCAACAAUGCUAAGGUGUUCAGUCAUGAAAGGCCUAGCUUUAAUAAAUGGAGAAGUGCUUUCAUCCAUGAUAUUACUCUCAUGCAGCAUAGAAUCAAACAUGUCUUUAGAGAUGAGUUAUUGAGAUGGAUUUCUUUUCUGCCUCCUUAAGGUAUUGUCUUGUAGUUCACUAGUUUUUCAGUUCUCUAGUUUUUUACUUUACCACUUUGAUUACCUCUUGUAAUCCAUGUAAUUUGUAACUCUUUUUGGCAAUAAAGUUAAAGUGUUGUGGGGGGGGGGGGUUCCCUACAGUUUACAGUCAAAAAAUAAUAACAAUCUGAAUUAGAAGCUAGUAACAAUAGCCUGAAUUUUUCAGUGAAUCCCAAGUGAGGUGGUUGUUGUGUUGGAUAGAUGUGCCCUUGAUUGGAUACUUCAUAGAAAUUCAUCAGCAUAGACACAUAAUUCAAAAGAUCACCUUGGUAUAAUUCUAGUCGAAUAUCUUAACACACUUACUGCACUUGAACAAUAAGAUUUUCACAGAAGCCUGGAAAAUAGGCAUUUAGUUCUAAUACGAUCCUUAGAAAAAAACAAAUAUGGUAUCAACAUAAAACUUUUAUGCUCCUACUAAAUAAAUUGCUUUCCCUUACCUUUGACUUUAGACAUCGUAUUCUCCGUUCCAAAAGUGGCAUCUCAAAGCACUUACUACACUUGAACAAUGCGAUUUUCACGAAAGCCUGUAAAAUAGGGAUUUAGUUCUUAUAUGCUCCCUAGAAAAAGCAAAAAUGGUAUCAACAAAAAACCUUUAUGCUCCUACUGAAUAAAUUACUUUUCCUUACCUUUGAAUUUAGACCUCUUCUUCUCCGUUCCAAAAGUGGUAUCUUAACACACUUACUGUACUUGAACAAUAAUGAGAUUUUCGCAGAAGCCUGGAAAAUAGGCAUUUAGUUCUAAUAUUCUCCCUAGGAAAAACAAAAAUGAUAUCAACAGAAACCUUUUAUGCACCUAAUGAACAAAUUAUUUUUCUUUACCUUUGAUUCUAGAUUUCUUCUUCUCCGCUCCAAAAGUGGCAUCAUAAUGGACUUACUACACUUGAACAAUGAUAUUUUCACGGAACCUAUAAAAUAGGAAUUUAGUUCUAAUACGCUCCCUAGAAACGACGAAAAUGAUAUCAACAGAAACCUUUUAUGCUCGUACUGAAUAAAUUACUUUUCCUAACCUUUGAUUUUAGAUCCGUCUUCUCCGUUCCAAAAGUGGAGUCUUAACGCACUUAGUGCACUUGAACAAUAAGAUUUUCGUAGAAGCCUGGAAAAUAGGCAUUUAGUUCUAGUAUGCUCCCUAGGAAAAACAAAAAUGAUAUCAACAGAAACCUUUAUGCUCCUAGUGAAUAAAUUACUUUUUCUAUGUUUUAUUUUAGACCUCGUGUUCUCCGUUCCAAAAGUGGCAUCUUAACGCACUUAUUGCACUUGAACAAUGAGAUUUUCACAGAAGCCUCGAAAAUAGGCAUUUAGUUCUAAUAUGCUCCCUAGAAAAAACAAAUAUGGUAUCAAGACAAACCUUUUAUGCUCCUAAUGAGUAAAUUACUUUUCCUUACCUUGGAUUUUAGACCUCGUCUUCUCCGUUUCAAACGUGGCAUCUUAACGCGCUUACUGCACUUGAAUAAUGAGAUUUCCGCAGAAUCCUGGGUAACAUGCAUUUAGUUCUAAUUUGCUCCCUAUAAAAAAGGGUAUGAGUAGAAACCUUUUUUGCUCCUAGUGAAUAAAUUAAUUUUCCUUACCUUUCACUUUGGAUCUCGUCGUCUUAGUUCGAGAUGUAAAUGGAGCAUGGCCUAAUAGUUGGGCAGCGACUGUGGUUCGUCGGCAAUACGCGAAUGGUGUAGCGCGUAGGUGCCUUGGAAUACCACAGAUCUGAACUAAGAGGAAAACAUAGAUGAUGGAUCAUAAUUAUGAGGGCAAACAUAUCAAGAGAGUGGCGGUGGCAGAAGUGGGUGGAGGAGAAGAUAGUUAGAUCUAGAGAAUGUUCGUGGUUGCGGUGGAGGAGAAGAUUGUUUGGUCUAAAGAGUGGUGGUGGCGGCGAAGGGUGGAGGAGAAGAUUGUUAGGUCUAAAGAGUGGUGGUGGCGGUGAAGGGUGGAGGAGAAGAUGGUUAGAUCUAGAGAAUAUUGGUGGUUGAGGUUGGAGGAGAAGAUAAUUAGGUCUCGAGAGUGGUGGCGGCGGUGGGCGGGGGAGAAAAUAGUU